This is a long non-coding RNA of Polyodon spathula (Mississippi paddlefish), 947 nucleotides long. RefSeq lists it as uncharacterized. The record is from RefSeq and is a predicted model, not a curated record. The transcript is spliced from 2 exons. Lineage: Eukaryota; Metazoa; Chordata; Actinopteri; Acipenseriformes; Polyodontidae.
CCCAACCAAAACAAUAAUAAUACCAAAUCCGUUUUGUAAAGAAGCCUCCCCGAGUGGCAGGAAGAGGAUGCCGCACACCACAAAGGAAACAAAGCACCCCGCUUUCCUCAUAGCGCCAGCCGCCGGAUUGGAUGUCUGCAUGAAAACAGUACACAGGGACUUGUGAUGACCCCAUGCAAAACUCACGACACUAAACCAGGAGUCACCGCAGUUGAUUCAAAUGAAUCGUUCAAACCAUUUAAAUGAGUGCUUUCCAAUAACAAACACACAUUACUAACAGUCCCUUGCGGUUUGGAACACUUUGUAGUUCAUCCGAAAUCAUUUCAAUAGGGUUGCCCAGUUUGAAUCGCUCAAGCUUUGCAAUUUUGUUUAAGUUCGAAACUGUAGCAGUGUGUUCAGCAUUUUGACAGCACGGUAAUUUAUUUUAUAAAAAAGACAUUUAGAGAUUACUUGUUAAAUCAUUUUCAUUAUGUGUUUAUAAUUUAUGUUCUGUUUAACUUCAAGAACCAUGGCUAGUUUUUUUGCCCAUAAUACCUCUGAAAAAAUUGCACAAACAAUUAGGCUGGUGAAAUGUUUAAUAUAUGCUGGUUUUGUUAAUAGACUAUUCAUGCAAGUAACACUGAAAUCCACAUUUAAAUAACGCCAGAAGCUUAUUCAACGAAGCCCUAUUACAGUAGAUUCUUGUUAAUUGCAUAGCCCGGGUGCCUACUGUAACAGUUGUAUGCAAUUAACCAGGGUGUGCAAGUACCAGUAAAAAUGUAAUACAUUUAAUUUUAUACCUGAUGAUUUUUUUUUUAAGUUAACAGGAAUAUGCAUUUAUCAUGUAUGCAAUUGAUUGGAAUACACUGUACUUUUAUCAUUCUUAAUCCUCUAAAAUUAACCUACAGUAAUAUCAUAUAGGUACACCAGAUACACUGUAAAAAAUUUAAAUAAAUCUGUAAAUGUUG